GCGUUGUUCGCUGCCGGAGUUUGGGGUGGCAAGGACCGGGCGCACGGCUGAGAUGCGCUGCCCUCCAGAAUGCGAGCCUGUGCACGCGCCUGCGGAGGGGCCACACUCCCUGCAGCGUCCGCGAUGCGCUGUUCCCGCUGGCGCUCGGCGGGCGCUCCCCUGGGCACAUCGAGGCUCUAGUGACCGCAUUAUGAAUUAGUCCUUUCCUUUUCUCCUCAUGUGAUUGCAGCGAGCGCUCGUCUUGUUUGUAAAUCGUGCUGGCAAGCCCCGUUUUAACCAACUACGAAUUUCAUUUCGGAAUGAAAAAGGAGACGCACUUUCGGACAGGGCAGCGGUUGCCGCCGGUCCUUCCUCUGAGCUACCGGUCCCUAGAAGGAAGACCUGCCUUCGACCGAUCUGGAAAUGAGUCCCAGCUGCAAGCCCAGGGCGGCGGAAGCCCCACGGGCCGAGCCGAAGAAAGACGAGGCGGGGGACGGGGAGCGUAGUGCCGCGUGCCGGGACCCACAACCCCUUUCCCCUGGGCGCUCUUCCCCGAGCGGACAGGAAAAAGCUCUCCUUUGCCGCUGCCCAUCCCCCAGGGCCCAAGCGAUGCUUCCUAACCGCGUGGACGCAGCUUGAUGGGGGAGAAAGAGCUCUGGGAGCAGGGCUUAGAGCCUCGUCUCGCCUCCUGCCAACUCGGUCCGGCAAGGUUCCGAACCUCCCUGAGCCUCAGCUUCCUAAUCUGGCAAACAUGACGACAAAAGUCCUUCUCUUUUAAGGUUUGCCCACAGCCCAGCUGCAUCUGUGAACAUGAAUGCUACUUCUACAGAAACAGAGUGGAAUCUCCGAAAUACCUUUGAGACCCUUUCGUGUCAGGUGGGUGGGCCACAGCCUGAUCAUGGAAUAAAAGUCAGCCUUAAGGA
RNAcentral lists this long non-coding RNA (902 nucleotides) under Homo sapiens (human). RNAcentral's name for it is "HSALNT0304318". The record is from RNAcentral. Lineage: Eukaryota; Metazoa; Chordata; Mammalia; Primates; Hominidae.